AGAGUUUGAUCCUGGCUCAGAACGAACGCUGGCGGCAGGCCUAACACAUGCAAGUCGAGCGAGGGGUAACCCUAGCGGCGGACGGGUGAGUAACGCGUGGGAACGUGCCCUUUGCUACGGAAUAGCCCUGGGAAACUGGGAGUAAUACCGUAUGAGCCCUUUGGGGGAAAGAUUUAUCGGCAAAGGAUCGGCCCGCGUUGGAUUAGGUAGUUGGUGGGGUAAUGGCCUACCAAGCCGACGAUCCAUAGCUGGUUUGAGAGGAUGAUCAGCCACACUGGGACUGAGACACGGCCCAGACUCCUACGGGAGGCAGCAGUGGGGAAUCUUAGACAAUGGGCGCAAGCCUGAUCUAGCCAUGCCGCGUGAGCGAUGAAGGCCUUAGGGUUGUGAAGCUCUUUCAGGGGGGAAGAUAAUGACUGUACCCCCAGAAGAAGCCCCGGCUAACUCCGUGCCAGCAGCCGCGGUAAUACGGAGGGGGCUAGCGUUGUUCGGAAUUACUGGGCGUAAAGCGCACGUAGGCGGACUGGAAAGUCAGGGGUGAAAUCCCGGGG
RNAcentral lists this ribosomal RNA (551 nucleotides) under uncultured freshwater bacterium. RNAcentral describes it as "bacterial SSU rRNA". It matches the Rfam family "Bacterial small subunit ribosomal RNA", at positions 8 to 607 of the family's 1533-position model. The record is from RNAcentral.